CGCCGGGCGAGCGGACGGACCGGAGGGUGGGAGAGGUCGCCAGCCGGCGCCGCUGACCCCAGCUGACCCGGCCCACAGGCGCAGCACCAUGAGGCUCCAACAGUGCAGGUGGCUGCUGUUGCUGGUGAUAUUGGUCACAGAGCUUCAGCAGAGCACCGUGCUGGCCAGGAGAAAGCACCGGAUACGUCACGCCACCACCGGCGUCCCAAGCGGCAGCACGGCGGUAGCCAGGUGUACUCGUAUGUGCUGGAGCGGGACGCCGGCCCGUGGGGCCUCUGGGGCACCCAGUCGCCCUGCUCGCGCUCCUGUGGCGGCGGAGUGGCCUUCCAGACCCGCCGCUGUACGGAU
Amphibalanus amphitrite is the source of this 348-nucleotide long non-coding RNA. RefSeq lists it as uncharacterized. The record is from RefSeq and is a predicted model, not a curated record. The transcript is spliced from 3 exons. Lineage: Eukaryota; Metazoa; Arthropoda; Thecostraca; Balanomorpha; Balanidae.